GACGGAGGGUGCAAGCGUUGCUCGGAAUUAUUGGGCGUAAAGGGUGCGUAGGCGGCUCCUUAAGUCUGGCGUGAAAGCCCAAGGCUCAGCCUUGGAAGUGCGCUAGAAACUGGGGAGCUAGAGUACCGGAGGGGAGAGUGGAAUUCCUGGUGUAGCGGUGAAAUGCGUAGAUAUCAGGAGGAAUACCGGUGGCGAAAGCGACUCUCUGGACGGUAACUGACGCUGAGGCACGAAAGCGUGGGUAGCAAAC
This 250-nucleotide ribosomal RNA is filed under the name uncultured bacterium. Its description in RNAcentral is "partial 16S ribosomal RNA". It matches the Rfam family "Bacterial small subunit ribosomal RNA", at positions 524 to 773 of the family's 1533-position model. The record is from RNAcentral.